UUGAUCCUGCCGGAGGUCACUGCUAUCGGGGUUCGACUAAGCCAUGCAAGUCGAGAGGGGUAAAGCCCUCGGCGAACUGCUCAGUAACACGUGGAUAACCUGACCUAGGGUGGAGGAUAACCCCGGGAAACUGGGGAUAAUACUCCAUAGGCUACGGAAGUUGGAAUGCUCUGUAACCGAAAGCUCCGGCGCCCUAGGAUGGGUCUGCGGCCGAUUAGGUUGUUGUUGGGGUAACGGCCCAACAAGCCGAUCAUCGGUACGGGCACUGAGAGGUGGAGCCCGGAGAUGGGGACUGAGACAAGGCCCCAGGCCCUACGGGGCGCAGCAGGCGCGAAAACUCCGCAAUACGCGAAAGCGUGACGGGGGAACCCCAAGUGUUCUCACUUCGGUGAGUACUUUUGCAGAGUGUAAAAAGCUCUGUGAAUAAGAGCGGGGUAAGACCGGUGCCAGCCGCCGCGGUAACACCGGCCGCUCGAGUGGUGACCACUUUUAUUGGGCCUAAAGCGUCCGUAGCCGGUCCGGUAAGUCCUUGGGUAAAUCCUAUCUUUUAAGGAUAGGAAUUCUGAGGAUACUGCCAGACUAGGGGUCGAGAGAGGUUAGAGGUACUCCUGGGGUAGCGGUGAAAUGUUGUAAUCCUAGGGGGACGACCAGUGGCGAAGGCGUCUAACCAGAGCGAGCCUGACGGUGAGGGACGAAAGCCAGGGGAGCGAACGGGAUUAGAUACCCCGGUAGUCCUGGCUGUAAACGCUGCGGGCUAGGUGUUGCAUGCUCUACGUGGGCAUGCAGUGCCGAAGAGAAGUUGAUAAGCCUGCCGCCUGGGAAGUAUUACCGCAAGGUAGAAACUUAAAGGAAUUGGCGGGGGAGCACCACAAGGGGUGAAGUCUGCGGUUCAAUUGGAUUCAACGCCGG
RNAcentral lists this ribosomal RNA (909 nucleotides) under uncultured archaeon. RNAcentral describes it as "bacterial SSU rRNA". It matches the Rfam family "Archaeal small subunit ribosomal RNA", at positions 8 to 921 of the family's 1478-position model. The record is from RNAcentral.